CAUUUAUAAAGAGAAAGAUGAACAUACUUUGGUCCUAAUACUAGUCCUUAGUUUGAGGUUUUGAGGUUUUUCCAUCCUUUCUGUUCUAAACAAUGCUUAGAAGUAAUAAUAACCUACUCCCCUGGUAGUUCCAGGGGAAAAUUUUAUAACCAGGUAGUGUCUAGAUAGUUCAAAAGCAUUAAUUUUCCCCCUAGUCCAAUGUUAGUGAAGAAUUUUAAAUUAUUCACUUAAAUUACAAAUUUGAAUCUUCUCAGUUAAAAGCUAAUACCCACCACUGAAGAGAUAUGCCUGAUUUUGGUUUCAAUGUCAACCAAAUUGCCUAAAUAUUUGCAUAGACAUUAAUAGCCAAAGGCAGGACACCAAUUUAAUUCUGGGUAGAACUAGUCAGUUCCUUUAGUAACACUGCAUUGUGACUAAGUCCAAGUGUUUUGUUUUCUUUUGUUUUUCAAAUUAAAGCCAACUUGUGAUGGUUUAGUGUAAUUGUAGCUACUGAUUUCCAUUGUGUUUUAUAAUCACAAGGCAAUAUCUGUGUCACAGAAUAGUAUUGCCUUGAAACUAUUUUUUUCCCAAUUUUACCUUUCCCAUCUUUUGUCUAAGCCUCAAGUAAUGACCAGUUUUGUUUGUAGUUACAAUGGAAUAACUCCUAAAUUAAACUGUUUCCUACUUUUUUCAGCCUUCUCAAAUCCAAAAAGCACAUGACUCAGCCUCCAUCUAAAUUGGCCCCAGGGAAUGAAUGCUAUUUUAACAGUGAGAGGAACCUAGACUUCCCAGAGAGGAGAUGCGGAGAUAAACAUGUAGCACAAAGGUGAAGGCUGACAAAAGGGAAUCCAGAUGCUGGAGCAGUGAGUGAACAUACAGAAGAAACCUCAAGAAGCAGAUCCAAGGGAGAGGGUAUUCAUUGAAUGAAAGGAAACUGCUGGAAAUAAAGACAGAAAUGGUGGCAUUGCUUGCCCAGCAAGAUCGUGGUGUCACCCAGACUGACAGGAAGAUAGACACGGAGGUCGCUGGCCUUAAAACUAUUGCUCGAGUCACACAAGCUUGACAAGAUUAAAUAUGUAGCAGGGUCUGUGUUUACAUGCCUAACAGUAGCUCUGGGAUUUUAUCGCCUAAGGAUGUAAUAAACUCUCUAUUUAAAGAGCUCUCUUAAUUGUUUUGCCUUAAAAAUACCAGGUUGUUGUGCUUUUUGUUUUUCUCAUUUCAAAUUUUAAUGCUGAUUUUGAUUUAAUUUACAUUAUUUAUUUUAUGCAAUUUAUGGACAUAUAACCAAGGCAAAGAAGUCAGGAAUUUCAUAAUUGCCCCUUUCACCUCUUCUAUUUAAUUGACUUCAUAACACUGAGUGGUUUUGGACAAAGCAUUGAAGACUCCACGCAGCUGGACCAGUGAGCUUGGUCUAACCUGUGGGAUAUACCAGCAGUAAAUAUUGUAUAACUCUCUUUAAUUUUAAAUCUUUUGUCACAUGGAGAAUUUGGGGUCUCCACUUAAAGGCACAAUGGCUUUACUAAGUGCCAAAGAAUCAUCGAAACUAAACCAAGAGCAGCAAUUCCUCCUCACCUAACGGCCCAUCCCUGAGGGCAGCCAGUCUCUGUCUGAAGAGGAUCGUGUUUAGUGUUUGGUAUGUUAAUGAUACAGCUGUACUGUACACUGAAAGGAGUAUUUUUCUUUAAAUUUCUACUGUCUUAGUAAAUUAUUGUUACAGCUAUUUUUUACGUGUCUUCCAGUAGAAAAUCUUGUUGCUUAAUCAAGUGUUGUAAUUGUAAUGGGAACUCUCUUUACCUCUUAGAGGGCUAGGCUUCUCUCUCCCUCCCUGUCACUGGUCCUUCUCCUCUGCCUCUGAACUUGAGCGCUAUAAUGAUCCUCCACUUGUGGCAUUGCCUGCCUAGAGAGUCUCGGCAUGGAUGCCUACUUCAGUUUGUGGGACAGCCUCUACUUCCCUGCUGGUCUUCACUUGCUUCUUAUACAGGGGCCGGCACUCCAUCCCUGUGUAGCAGUGUGCGGAUAGUUAAUGUGCACGCUUCUUAGAAAUGUCUUUAAUCAAUACGCUCUUGCCCACUACAUACUCAGAUCAUAGGCUUUCAAAAUUAGAGAACUGUCAUGCCAGGUAUCAUCCUAGUGUAGGUCGAUUUCUUUGGUGGUUCAAGACAUUCGCAUACCUGCCUGCCUUCUAUAUCUAAUACAAAUUCCUAGAUGCACCUGGGGUUCUUUUGGAGCAGUGCCAUCUUAUUUAACAACUGGCACCUGGGAGAGAGUAAGCAUUUGGAAUCGAUGGCAUUAAUAGCAGCUUUUCUGCCUUUCUCCACAUGGAUGCAUGUGCCUAUCAUCUGUGUGGUGGAGAAACCACAUAGAGACUUCUGACCAAUCUGGUGGGAUAAAUUACCCAUCAUCACGGUUCCAACCACAUAAAAAGCUACCUCUUAUCCUUUGGAUGUCCCUUCUAAGCUUUGGCAAGUGUAAGUUGGUGCCUUUUCUUAAAACAUUUGUGUAGCACAAAAAAUUCUGAACUUAAAAUGUAUGGAAAUCAAGGGCCUAGAGUGUAGCUACUCCGAACUAAUACCCAAGCACAGAAAGUAGUGAAUGCAAUUAUGUUUCAAAAAAACACUAACUUGUAUAGUUUAAAAAGAGAGUGAAGUGACCUUCUGUCCUGAUAAAAUAUUUUUUAAAUAACAUUGAGUGGGGUGACAUUCUUUCAUCUGCCAAAAGUAUUCCAAAUGGCAUUCCUGGUGGUGACAGUGGGCUGCAUCAGUCUGUACUUAAUUUGGGCCAUUGGUUUUGUUGAAACGUUCCUUGCAGUACAGAACAGCCUUCCUCCCCACCCACCUGGGGAACAAUGAGCACUCCUCUCAGUGUUGUGGAUUGCGUGCAUACAGGGACAUUAUGAGGGCCCAGGACUGUGUUCCAUUUAUUUAGUUAAAUGUACUGUCUUUGAAAAGCAAAUGAGCCAGAUAUACCAGUGCACCCUUCCCCCUGCUGGCCCGGAAGUCUGAACUGUGCACAGUAAGCAUGCUAUAUUGGGACACAGUGUGACAACUUCCUGAGCUAGUCUAGCUUAGAAGGAUUCAGAUCACUUUAGGAAAUUGGGAUCAGCCCUCAGAAGCGGGAAGAUGCAUGGCAAGACUUAGAUGACCUGUGUCUACCACGUUGCAAAAAUAACCAUAGCUGCAUGUUGAAAGCCCACCCCUCUAGGCACAGCUUCCUUGGGCACAGAGACCUAAAGCACAACAUCAAGUGGACAGAAUCUUUGCAUUUCCUUUCCCUGCCCUGAUCACUCUGUGAGGAGUCCUCUGCUUUCCCACUCUUCUACCCCCCACCCCACCCCAUCCCUUUUCCCCUUCCCCUGCCUUUUAUCCUUUUUAAAGAGCCAGAACUCUCCAUUAUUAAGCAAAACCUGUUUGUGUGUACAGGAAACACGAGUUCAGUUUGUGUGCUGGUCUUACUCCUCAGCUGCUUUAAUAGCUUAAUAUCUAAUAAAGCUAAAUCUGAGUGUAUUCAUUUUUUCCCUAAAGUAUGCCAAGUACUUCAUUCAGUUGAGAAGUCACAAGUUCAGGAAGAAAAGCUUGACUCAAACAAGACAUCUUGCUGGACUUUGUCUCUGAACACUUUAAAAACAAAUCCCAAGCCACAGUGAGCGUGAGUGUGUCAUGCCUGGGUCGUCUCCAGCUCAGCUCGUGCUUUUCUCUCUGCAGCCACACUUGGUGACAUGAUCUUCCCUCUUAGGCCUGUCUCCUUUCAGCCUCUCUGCCUGUUAGAUAGCCAUGUCAGCACUGGCAGGCAUCACUCUACCCGCGCCUCGAUACCCUAUGUUGAUGCUGAUUUCUGAACCAAUACAGUGUAAACAGUACUGCAGAACCCACAGCUCGAAAACUUUGGCUUUAACAUAUGUUUAUCCUAUUUGUUGUGGCUGUUCUGACACAAAAGCAAAAACAUGUUAACCAGAAAUAAUUUUUUCUUUAUGUAAAAUGUUAGAUAAUAUUUAACCUUUUAUUGGCAUUUUACUUGGGAAAUAUCUUUCCAGAUUUACAGCUAUACUCUGAUUUAAACCAAAUCAUUUCUUAAAAAUCCAUUUAUUAAGCAAAUAUUGUUAUAUUUUAUUAUAUAACAUAGAAGAUAUAACAUUUUUAUUGUCUAAAGUGAAAUAUUCUGUGACUAAUAUACUUUCCUAUUCAUUCUAAUUGAAUAUGAAAAACUAGGACAACUUAAGCCUAUGCUGCAUUUCAACUGUAUUCUCUCCAAUUGUGUAUGAUAAGUCUAAUACCUAAAAAUCUGCAUUUACAUAGAUAAAUUUGAAAGUGAUUUUUCAACUUAGAAAAUAAAUUUU
Long non-coding RNA from Manis pentadactyla (Chinese pangolin), 4312 nucleotides. RefSeq lists it as uncharacterized. NCBI's taxonomy places the organism in Eukaryota, Metazoa, Chordata, Mammalia, Pholidota, Manidae. The transcript is spliced from 4 exons. The record is from RefSeq and is a predicted model, not a curated record.